This 448-nucleotide ribosomal RNA is filed under the name uncultured bacterium. RNAcentral's name for it is "bacterial SSU rRNA". It matches the Rfam family "Bacterial small subunit ribosomal RNA", at positions 329 to 794 of the family's 1533-position model. The record is from RNAcentral.
UCCCAGACUCCUACGGGAGGCAGCAGUGGGGAAUAUUGCACAAUGGGGGAAACCCUGAUGCAGCGACGCCGCGUGAAGGAAGAAGUAUUUCGGUAUGUAAACUUCUAUCAGCAGGGAAGAAAAUGACGGUACCUGACUAAGAAGCCCCGGCUAACUACGUGCCAGCAGCCGCGGUAAUACGUAGGGGGCAAGCGUUAUCCGGAUUUACUGGGUGUAAAGGGAGCGUAGGCGGUUUAGCAAGUCAGAAGUGAAAGCCCGGGGCUCAACUCCGGGACUGCUUUUGAAACUGUUGAACUAGACUGCAGGAGAGGUAAGUGGAAUUCCUAGUGUAGCGGUGAAAUGCGUAGAUAUUAGGAGGAACACCAGUGGCGAAGGCGGCCUGCUGGACGAUGACUGACGUUGAGGCUCGAAAGCGUGGGGAGCAAACAGGAUUAGAUACCCCCGUACC